UAGCUCAGCUGGAUAGAGCAUUCGCCUUCUAAGCGAACGGUCGCAGGUUCGAAUCCUG
Molecule: transfer RNA, 58 nt
Filed under: Streptococcus agalactiae
Lineage: Bacteria; Bacillati; Bacillota; Bacilli; Lactobacillales; Streptococcaceae
Description: tRNA-Arg
Rfam family: tRNA
About the family: Transfer RNA (tRNA) molecules are approximately 80 nucleotides in length.
Source: RNAcentral